CAAAGGCUUCGGCCGGUAAAGGAUGGGGAUGCGUCUGAUUAGCUUGCCGGCGGGGUAACGGCCCACCGGGGCGACGAUCAGUAGGGGUUCUGAGAGGAAGGUCCCCCACAUUGGAACUGAGACACGGUCCAAACUCCUACGGGAGGCAGCAGUGAGGAAUAUUGGUCAAUGGGCGCGAGCCUGAACCAGCCAAGUAGCGUGCAGGACGACGGCCCUAUGGGUUGUAAACUGCUUUUAUACGGGGAUAAAGUAUGCCACGUGUGGUUUAUUGCAGGUGCCGUAUGAAUAAGGACCGGCUAAUUCCGUGCCAGCAGCCGCGGUAAUACGGAAGGUCCGGGCGUCAUCCGGAUUUAUUGGGUUUAAAGGGAGCGUAGGCCGGGUUUUAAGCGUGCCGUGAAAUGUCGGGGCUCAACCUUGACACUGCGGCGCGAACUGGAGUCCUUGAGUGCGCGGAACGUAUGCGGAAUUCGUGGUGUAGCGGUGAAAUGCUUAGAUAUCACGAAGAACCCCGAUUGCGAAGGCAGCAUACGGCAGCGCUACUGACGCUGAAGCUCGAAGGCGCGGGUAUCGAACAGGAUUAGAUACCCUGGUAGUCCGCGCGGUAAACGAUGGAUGCCCGCUGUUGGCGAUAUAUUGUCA
This 639-nucleotide ribosomal RNA is filed under the name uncultured bacterium. RNAcentral's name for it is "bacterial SSU rRNA". It matches the Rfam family "Bacterial small subunit ribosomal RNA", at positions 202 to 842 of the family's 1533-position model. The record is from RNAcentral.